RNAcentral lists this ribosomal RNA (433 nucleotides) under uncultured bacterium. RNAcentral's name for it is "partial 16S ribosomal RNA". It matches the Rfam family "Bacterial small subunit ribosomal RNA", at positions 29 to 507 of the family's 1533-position model. The record is from RNAcentral.
AACGAACGCUGGCGGCAUGCCUAACACAUGCAAGUCGAACGAGACCUUCGGGUCUAGUGGCGCACGGGUGCGUAACGUGUGGGAACCUGCCCUUAGGUUCGGAAUAACUCCCCGAAAGGGGUGCUAAUACCGGAUAAUGUCUUCGGACCAAAGAUUUAUCGCCUUUGGAUGGGCCCGCGUUGGAUUAGCUAGUUGGUAGGGUAAAAGCCUACCAGGGCGACGAUCCAUAGCUGGUCUGAGAGGAUGAUCAGCCACACUGGGACUGAGACACGGCCCAGACUCCUACGGGAGGCAGCAGUGGGGAAUAUUGGACAAUGGGCGAAAGCCUGAUCCAGCAAUGCCGCGUGAGUGAUGAAGGCCUUAGGGUUGUAAAGCUCUUUUACCCGGGAUGAUAAUGACAGUACCGGGAGAAUAAGCUCCGGCUAACUCCGUG